Molecule: ribosomal RNA, 472 nt
Filed under: uncultured bacterium
Lineage: Bacteria
Description: bacterial SSU rRNA
Rfam family: Bacterial small subunit ribosomal RNA
Source: RNAcentral
CGCUGUCACUCCUACGGGAGGCAGCAGUGGGGAAUAUUGCACAAUGGGGGAAACCCUGAUGCAGCCAUGCCGCGUGUGUGAAGAAGGCCUUCGGGUUGUAAAGCACUUUCAGUAGGGAGGAAGGUAGUGUAGUUAACACCUGCAUUAUUUGACGUUAGCGACAGAAGAAGCACCGGCUAACUCCGUGCCAGCAGCCGCGGUAAUACGGAGGGUGCGAGCGUUAAUCGGAAUUACUGGGCGUAAAGCGCAUGCAGGUGGUUUGUUAAGUCAGAUGUGAAAGCCCGGGGCUCAACCUCGGAAUAGCAUUUGAAACUGGCAGACUAGAGUACUGUAGAGGGGGUAGAAUUUCAGGUGUAGCGGUGAAAUGCGUAGAGAUCUGAAGGAAUACCAGUGGCGAAGGCGGCCCCCUGGACAGAUACUGACACUCAGAUGCGAAAGCGUGGGGAGCAAACAGGAUUAGAUACCCUGGUAG